UGGAUCCUGAGUACGACGGAGCACGUGAAAUUCCGUCGGAAUCUGGGAGGACCAUCUCCUAAGGCUAAAUACUCUCUAGUGACCGAUAGUGAACCAGUACCGUGAGGGAAAGGUGAAAAGCACCCCGGAAGGGGAGUGAAAUAGAACCUGAAACCGUGUGCUUACAAGUAGUCAGAGCCCGUUAAUGGGUGAUGGCGUGCCUUUUGUAGAAUGAACCGGCGAGUUACGAUUUGAUGCAAGGUUAAGCAGUAAAUGUGGAGCCGUAGCGAAAGCGAGUCUGAAUAGGGCGUUUAGUAUUUGGUCGUAGACCCGAAACCAGGUGAUCUACCCUUGGUCAGGUUGAAGUUCAGGUAACACUGAAUGGAGGACCGAACCGACUUACGUUGAAAAGUGAGCGGAUGAACUGAGGGUAGCGGAGAAAUUCCAAUCGAACCUGGAGAUAGCUGGUUCUCUCCGAAAUAGCUUUAGGGCUAGCCUCAAGUGAUGAUUAUUGGAGGUAGAGCACUGUUUGGACGAGGGGCCCCUCUCGGGUUACCGAAUUCAGACAAACUCCGAAUGCCAAUUAAUUUAACUUGGGAGUCAGAACAUGGGUGAUAAGGUCCGUGUUCGAAAGGGAAACAGCCCAGACCACCAGCUAAGGUCCCAAAAUAUAUGUUAAGUGGAAAAGGAUGUGGCGUUGCCCAGACAACUAGGAUGUUGGCUUAGAAGCAGCCAUCAUUUAAAGAGUGCGUAAUAGCUCACUAGUCGAGUGACACUGCGCCGAAAAUGUACCGGGGCUAAACAUAUUACCGAAGCUGUGGAUUGUCCUUUGGACAAUGGUAGGAGAGCGUUCUAAGGGCGUUGAAGCAUGAUCGUAAGGACAUGUGGAGCGCUUAGAAGUGAGAAUGCCGGUGUGAGUAGCGAAAGACGGGUGAGAAUCCCGUCCACCGAUUGACUAAGGUUUCCAGAGGAAGGCUCGUCCGCUCUGGGUUAGUCGGGUCCUAAGCUGAGGCCGACAGGCGUAGGCGAUGGAUAACAGGUUGAUAUUCCUGUACCACCUAUAAUCGUUUUAAUCGAUGGGGGGACGCAGUAGGAUAGGCGAAGCGUGCGAUUGGAUUGCACGUCUAAGCAGUAAGGCUGAGUAUUAGGCAAAUCCGGUACUCGUUAAGGCUGAGCUGUGAUGGGGAGAAGACAUUGAGUCUUCGAGUCGUUGAUUUCACACUGCCGAGAAAAGCCUCUAGAUAGAAAAUAGGUGCCCGUACCGCAAACCGACACAGGUAGUCAAGAUGAGAAUUCUAAGGUGAGCGAGCGAACUCUCGUUAAGGAACUCGGCAAAAUGACCCCGUAACUUCGGGAGAAGGGGUGCUCUUUAGGGUUAACGCCCAGAAGAGCCGCAGUGAAUAGGCCCAAGCGACUGUUUAUCAAAAACACAGGUCUCUGCUAAACCGUAAGGUGAUGUAUAGGGGCUGACGCCUGCCCGGUGCUGGAAGGUUAAGAGGAGUGGUUAGCUUCUGCGAAGCUACGAAUCGAAGCCCCAGUAAACGGCGGCCGUAACUAUAACGGUCCUAAGGUAGCGAAAUUCCUUGUCGGGUAAGUUCCGACCCGCACGAAAGGCGUAACGAUUUGGGCACUGUCUCAACGAGAGACUCGGUGAAAUCAUAGUACCUGUGAAGAUGCAGGUUACCCGCGACAGGACGGAAAGACCCCGUGGAGCUUUACUGUAGCCUGAUAUUGAAAUUCGGCACAGCUUGUACAGGAUAGGUAGGAGCCUUUGAAACGUGAGCGCUAGCUUACGUGGAGGCGCUGGUGGGAUACUACCCUAGCUGUGUUGGCUUUCUAACCCGCACCACUUAUCGUGGUGGGAGACAGUGUCAGGCGGGCAGUUUGACUGGGGCGGUCGCCUCCUAAAAGGUAACGGAGGCGCUCAAAGGUUCCCUCAGAAUGGUUGGAAAUCAUUCAUAGAGUGUAAAGGCAUAAGGGAGCUUGACUGCGAGACCUACAAGUCGAGCAGGGUCGAAAGACGGACUUAGUGAUCCGGUGGUUCCGCAUGGAAGGGCCAUCGCUCAACGGAUAAAAGCUACCCCGGGGAUAACAGGCUUAUCUCCCCCAAGAGUUCACAUCGACGGGGAGGUUUGGCACCUCGAUGUCGGCUCAUCGCAUCCUGGGGCUGUAGUCGGUCCCAAGGGUUGGGCUGUUCGCCCAUUAAAGCGGUACGCGAGCUGGGUUCAGAACGUCGUGAGACAGUUCGGUCCCUAUCCGUCGUGGGCGUAGGAAAUUUGAGAGGAGCUGUCCUUAGUACGAGAGGACCGGGAUGGACAUACCUCUGGUGUACCAGUUGUCGUGCCAAC
This 2327-nucleotide ribosomal RNA is filed under the name Staphylococcus aureus. Its description in RNAcentral is "partial 23S ribosomal RNA". It matches the Rfam family "Bacterial large subunit ribosomal RNA", at positions 402 to 2733 of the family's 2925-position model. The record is from RNAcentral. Lineage: Bacteria; Bacillati; Bacillota; Bacilli; Caryophanales; Staphylococcaceae.